CACGUAGGGCGCAAGCGUUGUCCGGAAUUAUUGGGCGUAAAGAGCUCGUAGGCGGUCUGUUGCGUCCGCUGUGAAAACUCGGGGCUUAACCCCGAGCCUGCAGUGGAUACGGGCAGACUAGAGGUAGGCAGGGGAGAAUGGAAUUCCCGGUGUAGCGGUGAAAUGCGCAGAUAUCGGGAGGAACACCGGUGGCGAAGGCGGUUCUCUGGGCAUGAUCUGACGCUGAGGAGCGAAAGUGUGGGGAGCGAACAGG
This 253-nucleotide ribosomal RNA is filed under the name uncultured bacterium. Its description in RNAcentral is "partial 16S ribosomal RNA". It matches the Rfam family "Bacterial small subunit ribosomal RNA", at positions 524 to 776 of the family's 1533-position model. The record is from RNAcentral.